GGGGCUCGUGAUAUCUCAUCUCGCCGCCCGUCGCGAGGCGGACGGAGGGGAUGGAUGAGGUUUACCUGGAAAAAAUCGGGGCGAUCUAGGCGGGCGAACCUCGCCAACGAACGAUCGGACAUGGGAUAACGGAAGAGGGCGUCGGUUCGACUUCGUCGGUUCCUCGGGCCGAGGCACGUACGGUGAAUAGGGACGGUCGGGGCCGCCCGUACCGGGUCGUGAGAGGUGAAAUUCUAGGAUCGACCCGAGACGAACCGCCGCGAAAGCAUUCGGCAAGGACGCUUUUCAUUAAUCAAGAACGAAAGUCGGGGGAUCGAAGACGAUCAGAUACCGUCGUAGUCCCGACCGUAAACGAUGCCGACCGAGGGCCCGGAGGAGUUACGUACGACCCUCCGGGCCCUCCCGCGAGAAAUCAGGAGUAUUCGGGUUCCGGGGGGAGUAUGGUCGCAAGGCCGAAACUUAAAGGAAUUGACGGAAGGGCACCACCAGGAGUGGG
This 496-nucleotide ribosomal RNA is filed under the name uncultured eukaryote. RNAcentral's name for it is "bacterial SSU rRNA". It matches the Rfam family "Eukaryotic small subunit ribosomal RNA", at positions 691 to 1180 of the family's 1831-position model. The record is from RNAcentral.